UUUGCUUCUCUGACUUUGAGUCCUCUUGUUAGCCCCUAAAUGUUUGUGCUCCCCAAGAUUCCGCUGGUGAUCUCCUUUCCUCUCCCCCUCCAUCCUUUCUAUUGAUCUCACCUCCUUCUUAGGCUUCAGAGAGCCGUCUGUGCAGGUGACUAUGAAAUGUGUAUUUCUCAUCCACCUGCUUUGAGCUUAAGAUUUACAUCUGGAGAAGUCAGCCUAGGGGAGCCAUGGCAUCUGAGACUCAGCGUGUCUUAAACCAGAUUCAUCUCUUACUGUCCUCACCAGCUUCUCCAGCUCUCCUUUUAGCUGUAAUGACAGUUCCACUCUCUCAGCCACCAGAUUGUGGUGCCCUUCUUUGCCACAUCUUGCCUUCAUUCUCCACAUUGCAUUCGUUGCAGUUUUCAGGCUUAUCCUUAUAAAGUAUCUUUUCUUCCAAAAAUUGCUUGUGUAUACAUAUGCAUAGAGAGGUAUCUGGAAAUAAAUUCACCAGAAAGUUUAAUUUACCAUCCAGUCUAUCUCUGGGUGAUGGGAUUCUAUGUUGUUCAAGCUUUUUUUUUUUUUUUUUUUUAAUAACAGGCCUUAAUUACUCAUAGACUUGUGCCCAGCGUAUACCCAGUCUGUCUUCUCAGCACUCCCUUGCCCUGAACCCCAUAACUGGGGCUCAGUUGCUGGUUCAUUCAUUCUUUGUACCUCCGGUCAUCAUUUUCCAGGUGCCUUUCAAGUAAACUUUCCUUAGUGAAACCCUUCUCCCAGCUGAAUGUUUCUUCCUUCUGUGGGCCCUCUGGUCUCUAUGCUAUUUCCUGUAUUCUGCCCUCUGCUGUCUAUACAUGUGUAUUUUGUGUUCUGUCCUUUAUUAGAUUGUAAGCUCCAUGAGGGCAGAGUUUGGGUCUGAUUACCCAUCCUUUCCCCCUUUUGGUUACAGUCUCCCAGUUUUUCUUUGGGAGACAACACCUUUUCCCCCUGGCUACAGUUUUGGUGGGAUGGGCAGUUCAGGUGUCCUGCCAACAAGAUGCUCUUCUCCUGGAAUUUGAAUUUUGAGUCAUGAGAUACAAGGACUGACAGUGAUUGGCACUGAUUCAGCCUGGCCGAGGUGCUCUGAAGAAGCCACUCAUUAGUUCCUGCCUCCUAGAUCCCUGGAGCUGCCCUGGUCCCUGAACUCUCCGAAGCCUGGUUCUUCAGAUAUUCCUUCGUAUCUCCAGAGACUGCUGCUGCUUUGAAACGUACGAUAGAGGCCCUGAUGGACAGAGGAGCAGUAGUGAGGGACUUGGAAAACCUGGGUGAACGAGUGCUUCCUUAUAGGAUGUCUGCCCACAGUCAGCAGCACAACAGAGGCGGGUAUUUCUUGGUGGAUUUUUAUGCACCCACCGCAACUGUUGAAAGCAUGGUGGAGCACUUGUCUCGAGAUAUAGAUGUGAUUAGAGGGAAUAUCGUCAAACACCCUCUGACCCAGGAACUAAAAGAAUGUAAAGGGAUUGUCCCAGUCCCACUUGCAGAAAAAUUGUAUUCCACAAAGAAGAAGAAGAAGUGAGAAGAUGCGCCAGAUUUUAGCCUUAUAUGUAAUUCCUUCACAUUUGAGCAGCAUGGACGAGAAGGAAGAGUUUGCAAGUUUGGCCUUUAUAUAAGCAUGUGUUGCAGGUGCUGUUUGAUUUUUCUAAGGUAUUUUUAGCCCUUGAUCCCCUUUGCUUGCAGGAGGUGAGGAACUGCUCACUGACAGCUUCUCUGUAACCUGCAGUACCAGUGGAUCAUUCUUGAUUUUGUUUUCAUUAGUGUCAUUUCUUUGUCAGUGAGGACUUUUCCCCUUAGAACAGUAACACCAUUUUUUGAAGAGCAAAACUUAUAAUACCUCCUGGGAUUGUGAGCUAGUCAUUCAGCCUGUAUAACCAUGCAGAAAUAAAAAUUGACGACCAAUGUAUUAUAUGGACAACUUUUGCUUUGAGUAAUAAACUUGGUUGUAGGAAUGCG
Molecule: small RNA, 1959 nt
Filed under: Pongo abelii (Sumatran orangutan)
Lineage: Eukaryota; Metazoa; Chordata; Mammalia; Primates; Hominidae
Description: processed transcript
Source: RNAcentral